This is a long non-coding RNA of Anguilla rostrata (American eel), 1640 nucleotides long. RefSeq lists it as uncharacterized. The record is from RefSeq and is a predicted model, not a curated record. The transcript is spliced from 3 exons. NCBI's taxonomy places the organism in Eukaryota, Metazoa, Chordata, Actinopteri, Anguilliformes, Anguillidae.
UUUGUGGUGGGAAGAGUGUUUGAAAAAGUUUGUUACAGGGUUGUAUUGUGCUUUCAAGUGUGUAUUGAUAUUAUUUUGGGCUUUUUGUUUAAACAGAACCCCCAUAUUACAAGUAAGCUCAGAACCAGCAGAACUUAUGGCUGGCAGAACGUGUCCCGCAUCGUUGGAGAAUGCCGCAGCCAUGAGACGACCCUGUGAACACAAUCAGCCAUUUCAUGAAGACUUGGAACAGUGGUGAAUCUUCCCAGAAGUGGCCGGCCUGCCAAAAUUUCUCCAAGGGCACUGUGACAAGUCACAAAAAAUCCCAGAAGAGCGUCCAAAGAACUGCAGGCCACUCUGACUUCAGAUAAGUGCUCAUGACUCCAUGAUAAGAAAGAGAUGGGGCAAAAAUGGGAUUCAUGGGAGCAUAGCAAGCCGGAAACCACUGCUAACUAAACCAAACAUCAAUGCGCAUCGCACAUUUGCAAAGAAAGCACCUGGAUGAUCCCCAAGCCUUUUUGGAUAAUGUUCUAUGAAUGGAUGAGUCAAAAGGGGAACUUUUUGGACGAUACAGGUCCCAUCAUGUCUGGCAUAAAGCAAAUACAGCCAGAACAUCAUAGCAACAGUCAAACAUAGUAGUGGUAGAGUGAUGAGGUGGGCAUGCUUCGCUGCCUCAGGACCUGGAAAUCUUGCCAAUAUGGAAGGAACCAUAAAUUCUGCUCUGCACCAUAACAUUCUUAAGGAGAAUGUCCGGUCAUCUGUCCAUAAUUGGGUUAUGCAGCAAGACGAUGAUCCAAAACAGAUAAGCAAGUCCACAUCUGAAUGGCUGCAAAGAACCAAAAUUAAAAUUUUGUAGUGGCCUAGUCAAAGUUCUGACCCAAUUGAGAUGCUAUGGCAUGACCUGAAAUAAGCAGUUCAUGCUCAAAAUUCUACCGGUUUGUCUGAAUUGAAGCAGUUUUACAAAGAAUAGUAUGCUAAAAUUCCUGUAAAAGACUGUUAUGAAGUUAUAGGAAGUGUUUGGUUACAGUUAUUGCAGCUAAAGGUGGGGCAAACAUUUAUUAAGUUUAAGGGGCAAUUACUUUUUCACAUGGGAGAUAUUGGUGUUUGAUAACUUGUUCAUUAAAUAUAUUUUGUUUUGGAUUUACUCAGGUUUCCUUUGUCGAAUGUUUCAUUUUGUCUAUAGAUCUGAAACCAUUCAAUGUGAAAAUAUGCAAUAAUAGAGAAAAUUAGGAAGGGGCAAAUGGCACAGAACUGUAUGAUGUGCUCAUAGUCAUUUAAUAACAUCAGCGUUGAAGCUCUUCUGAUGGCUGGGGCUGUAUGCCAGGGAUAAAGCAAACACCAAAGCAUGCAGGAUAACGUUACAUUUGAUCUAACAUCAGUAAUGGUGAGAUUUGUGACACACACUAACCUAAUGUUAAUGCUUGGCUGAUAAUAAAAUGUAUCCGAAAUGAACCAAAGGGUGCUUUUUCUUUUGCACGCUGUGAUUUUUCUUAAAUUUGUAUACCUUCAUGAAAAUUUAUAGAAAUUUCUUAUCACUUUGAUAGAAUACAGUCCUUUGUGCAGUUGUCAUACAAAACUUCCCAAAUAAUAGCUUGAAAUAAUUUCGCACAAUAAAAUGUGCAGAAAACCAACCUUUUCCAAUAUUUUGUCCACCACUAGUA